Molecule: long non-coding RNA, 264 nt
Organism: Sinocyclocheilus rhinocerous
Lineage: Eukaryota; Metazoa; Chordata; Actinopteri; Cypriniformes; Cyprinidae
Exons: 3
Source: RefSeq, a predicted model, not a curated record
UCGUGAACGGAAGUCUUUAUUGUGCUCGUGCUCUUUUGCACCUGUCAUGUCACUUUUCAGUGCGACAAGUAACUUUACACGAAAUGAUGCUCCAGAUUUCCAGUUAUUUCGCAAGAGUGAGAGCUCUGAUGAUGAAGAGAAAAGGUCGAAAAGAAGAGAAAAGAACCGAGUUGCUGCACAGAGGAGCCGUAAAAGACAAACUCAGAGAGCUGAUGAGUUGCAUGAGGCAUAUGAAUGUCUGGAACAGGAGAACAGCCUGCUGAG